Molecule: ribosomal RNA, 263 nt
Filed under: uncultured bacterium
Lineage: Bacteria
Description: partial 16S ribosomal RNA
Rfam family: Bacterial small subunit ribosomal RNA
Source: RNAcentral
UAAGCCCUACGGGGGGCAGCAGUGAGGAAUAUUGGUCAAUGGGCGAGAGCCUGAACCAGCCAAGUCGCGUGAAGGAUGACGGCCCUAUGGGUUGUAAUCUUCUUUUGUCAGGGAGCAAUUGGGUCCACGUGUGGGCUUAGCGAGAGUACCUGAAGAAAAAGCAUCGGCUAACUCCGUGCCAGCAGCCGCGGUAAUACGGUGGAUGCGAGCGUUAUCCGGAUUUAUUGGGUUUAAAGGGUGCGUAGGCGGAAUAUCAAGUCAGC